Molecule: unclassified non-coding RNA, 375 nt
Filed under: uncultured Rickettsiaceae bacterium
Lineage: Bacteria; Pseudomonadati; Pseudomonadota; Alphaproteobacteria; Rickettsiales; Rickettsiaceae
Description: contains 16S-23S intergenic spacer region
Source: RNAcentral
UCCGAUUUAUCAUCGGCAGUUUCUCUAGAGUACCCAGCAUAACCUGAUGGUAACUAAAGAUGAGGGUUGCGCUCGUUGCGGGACUUAACCCAAUAUCUCACGACACGAGCUGACGACAGCCAUGCAACACCUGUGUGUGGUCCAGCCGAACUGAAGGACUCCAUCUCUGGAAUCCGCGACCACCAUGUCAAAGGCUGGUAAGGUUUUUCGCGUUGCUUCGAAUUAAACCACAUACUCCACCGCUUGUGCGAGCCCCCGUCAAUUCCUUUGAGUUUUAAUCUUGCGACCGUACUCCCCAGGCGGAAUGCUUAUCAAGUUAUCUUCGACACCGGGAAACCCCGAUAUCUAGCAUUCAUCGUUUACAGCGUGGACUAC